UGUGCCUCUACUGUACAUGUGUCUAUUAAAGCAGAGUCAGUACUCAGAGAGAGACAGAGACAGACAGAGAGACAGAGAGAUAGACAGACAGACAGACAGACAGACAGACAGACAGACAGACAGACAGACAGACAGACAGACAGACAGACAGACAGACAGACAGACAGACAGACAGACAGACAGACAGACAGACAGACAGAGAGACAGAGAGACAGACAGACAGACAGACAGACAGACAGACAGACAGACAGACAGACAGACAGACAGACAGAGAGACAGACAGACAGACAGACAGACACCAUGUCUCCCUCCCAGUCCUCCCUACUGCUGCUGCUGAUGGUCUCCUGCUCCUGGGCCUCCCACUUCUUAGGAGGAACCAUGACCUUCAACCCCAGAGGGACCAACCCAGAUGGGACCUACAGGGUGGACCUUCGUUACAAGACAGCCUUCCACUAUUCCAUCUGUCUUUCUGAUACCUGGUGGUGUGUCAGUGGGGACUGUGGGAAUGAGACCAGUCUAGUGGUUAAGGGAGUGGACCAGGGGAUAUCUGAGGACUGGUGUCAGACAGAAGGAGUCAUGACUAGACACGUCUCCAUUAACACACAGACUUUUGAUCUGCGAUUGGAUAGCUGUUGCUGGAUAGACAAUGAUAAUGAUGUUUAUUUUUGGAGGCUGUUGACUCAUGUGGAUCUUGGGGUCAGGUCUGACACGGGGACAGUCAACCGAUCUCCACAGACCACUGUCAUACCUCUGAUGAGUGUCCCUGCUAAUUGUCAAAGAGAUUUCAACCUGUUGCUGUUUGAUCCAGAUGGGGAUAUGGUCAGAUGCAGAUACGCAGUACCAACGGAUGAGUGUUACACAUCAAGUGACCUUCCUAAUGACUUCACUCUACGAGAGAACUGCACCUUGUCAUUUUGGGGCAACAGUAAUACCACUGGAACAUAUGUAGUUCAGAUGGUGAUGGAGGAUUUCCCGACUCAGUCCAUCUCUCUCUCCUAUACUGACGGAUCUCAAUCUAACAGGACCUCAAACAAUACACUCUGCAAACUGCCUGUUCAGUUUGCAGUGAGAGUGGACCCCCCGGUGACAUCCUGUAUGGAGGGGCUGUACCUACCCAUGUUCCUGUCUCCAACACCAGCCCAGGGUGCACUGCUGUACGCCUCUGCAGACCAACCCCUGGAAAUCACUGUCAGAGCACAGGCUACCAACUCCACGGUUUCAGAGCUGUUGGUGAGUGGACCUUCCGGUAUCACAGAGAACACCACUGAUCCAGGAGAGUACCUUCUAAGAUGGACGCCCACUGAGGAUGAGGAGGGAGGGUACUAUCCUGUGUGCUUCAUCGCUCAGGGAGUGAACGACAGUUCCACGUACCACUCUGAGCUGCGCUGUGUGAUCGUCAGGGUUGGAAACACAAGCGGAGACGUUGUUGUACUGAGGACAAAAGUGUCCGCUCUGAUCCCACUGACAGAUAAUUACAUCAGAAACAUGGUGUUUCAGCAGAUCCGUCUAAUUCCGAUCGUCAGGAUGUCAGGGAUGGACCUCCCAUUGGACGAGCUCCAAGGAUCCGGAAUCUCCCCUGACAACGGAACCUUCCUGAAGUUCUCCCCCACCUCCGUUUCCAUGGCAGCCGUGGAGCCUGCUGGUGUUCCUGCUCGUCAUUACCCUCCUCAGGCUGGAGAACAUCAUUACAUCCUCCUCCUCUGUAGCUGACUGCAGCAUGACAGCCUACCCCGGCGACGCUGGGCCAAUUGUACAGCCACCGUAUGGGACUCCCAAUCACAGCCUAGAUGUGAUACAGCCUGGAUUUGAACCAGGGACUGCAGUGACACCUCUUGCACUAAAAUGCAGUGCCUUAGACCGCAGAGCUCCUUUGAAGAGAUGAACAGCCACUUUAGCAGGGUUGAGAAGAGCUGACCAAUCAGAACCCGAGGACGUUUGUUACGGAGCCCCAUGAGGAACACAUGAUGCCGACUUUCCGCUGUGUGUUUGACCGCCUCUGAACCCCAAUAACCCGGAAUAGAGUAGUCCCUGAUCAUAGAUCUAGGAUUGUACCCAAUCCCAAUUUAAUCUAAAUCUCCCUCUCUCUCUCUUUUGCCCCCCACACACACCCCCCUCCCCACACAAUAUAGUUUUAAAUUAGUGUUGUAAUGAUGCUCUUAUUUGGUUACAUACGUGUUAAUUGCUGUUACUUCUAUUGUCAAUUAUGUUGUUAGUUUGUAGUUAAUGUUGUUAGCUAUUUGAAUUCA
This 2246-nucleotide long non-coding RNA is filed under the name Salmo salar (Atlantic salmon). RNAcentral describes it as "lncRNA (ENSSSAG00000086918.1)". The record is from RNAcentral. Lineage: Eukaryota; Metazoa; Chordata; Actinopteri; Salmoniformes; Salmonidae.